RNAcentral lists this ribosomal RNA (1107 nucleotides) under Gelidium crinale. RNAcentral describes it as "LSU rRNA". It matches the Rfam family "Eukaryotic large subunit ribosomal RNA", at positions 1020 to 2183 of the family's 3401-position model. Lineage: Eukaryota; Rhodophyta; Florideophyceae; Gelidiales; Gelidiaceae. The record is from RNAcentral.
AUUAGCGUAUUUGGGGACAUUUAGUCUUCAGACGAUUCUCAAACUUUCAAUGCGCAAGGGUGUUGCUGCUUAAUUGAGCUUCACCGGUAAAAACGUCGGCCCUGUGGGCCACUUUUGGUAAGCAGAACUGGCGAUACGGGAUGAACCGUAAGCAUGGUUAAGGUGCCAAACUACUCGCUUAUAGAUCCCACAAAAGGUGUUGAUUCAUCGAGACAGCAGGACGGUGGCCAUGGAAGCCGGAAUCCGCCAAGGAGUGUGUAACAACUCACCUGCCGAAUGAAUUAGCCCUGAAAAUGGAUGGCGCUUAAGCGGGUGACCGACACCAUGCCGUCUGAAUGAUAAAUUUCAGAUGAGUAGGAGGACGUGGUGAUCGUGACGAAGUAUGCGUGCGAACGCGUAUCGAACGAUCACUAGUGCAGAUCUUGGYGGUAGUAGCAAAUAUUCAAGCGAGAUCCUUGAAGGGCGAAGUGGGGAAGGGUUCCACGCUAACAUUGAUUGGCGUGGGUGAGUCGUUCCUAAGCCGAGUGGCAUUGCUAWGUACGGCGAAAGGGAAGCGGGUUUACAUUCCCGCACACGGAUGUGGAGGCGGUGACGCUUUAUUGGGGCGAACACGCUGGCGAUGGCGCUGGGCAGAGUUGUCUUUUCUGUUUGACCGUUUGCGCAUGCGGUGUGGAGUCCGCUUGUCGGGAGAAACACGCAUGCGCGGGCAGAGCGCCGGGGCUUUUCCGGCGUCCAGCUCGCCAUCGACGGCCCUUGAAACUUUGCCUGCUGGUUUUAGAAUCCACGCCGUGGCGUACCGAUCACCGCAUCAGGUCCCCAAGGUGAACAGCCUCUGCUCAAUAUGAAAAAUGCAGGUAAGGGAAGUCGGCAAAUUAGACCCGUAACUUUGGGAAAAGGGUUGGCUCUAGUGCUGCGUGGGAGUGGKUGUCAAGUUGUGGCGCUCUCGAAGGUGCUGGUUUGCGCGAUACUUCGGUGUUGUUCGACAGGCGCCAUUGAUUGUGCCGCUCUUGACGACGCCCACAGCAUGCAGCAAACUAGAACUGCAACGGGCAAAGGGAAUCCGACUGUUUAAUUAAAACAAAGCAUUGCGAGGGCCGGGCCGGUGAU